Molecule: ribosomal RNA, 1350 nt
Filed under: bacterium S29
Lineage: Bacteria
Description: bacterial SSU rRNA
Rfam family: Bacterial small subunit ribosomal RNA
Source: RNAcentral
CCGAGCGGUAGAGAUCUUUCGGGAUCUUGAGAGCGGCGUACGGGUGCGGAACACGUGUGCAACCUGCCUUUAUCUGGGGGAUAGCCUUUCGAAAGGAAGAUUAAUACCCCAUAAUAUAUUGAAUGGCAUCAUUUGAUAUUGAAAACUCCGGUGGAUAGAGAUGGGCACGCGCAAGAUUAGAUAGUUGGUGAGGUAACGGCUCACCAAGUCAGCGAUCUUUAGGGGGCCUGAGAGGGUGAUCCCCCACACUGGUACUGAGACACGGACCAGACUCCUACGGGAGGCAGCAGUGAGGAAUAUUGGACAAUGGGUGAGAGCCUGAUCCAGCCAUCCCGCGUGAAGGACGACGGCCCUAUGGGUUGUAAACUUCUUUUGUAUAGGGAUAAACCUACCCUCGUGAGGGUAGCUGAAGGUACUAUACGAAUAAGCACCGGCUAACUCCGUGCCAGCAGCCGCGGUAAUACGGAGGGUGCAAGCGUUAUCCGGAUUUAUUGGGUUUAAAGGGUCCGUAGGCUGAUUUGUAAGUCAGUGGUGAAAUCUCACAGCUUAACUGUGAAACUGCCAUUGAUACUGCAAGUCUUGAGUGUUGUUGAAGUAGCUGGAAUAAGUAGUGUAGCGGUGAAAUGCAUAGAUAUUACUUAGAACACCAAUUGCGAAGGCAGGUUACUAAGCAACAACUGACGCUGAUGGACGAAAGCGUGGGGAGCGAACAGGAUUAGAUACCCUGGUAGUCCACGCCGUAAACGAUGCUAACUCGUUUUUGGGCUUUUGGGUUCAGAGACUAAGCGAAAGUGAUAAGUUAGCCACCUGGGGAGUACGAACGCAAGUUUGAAACUCAAAGGAAUUGACGGGGGCCCGCACAAGCGGUGGAUUAUGUGGUUUAAUUCGAUGAUACGCGAGGAACCUUACCAAGGCUUAAAUGGGAAAUGACAGGCUUAGAAAUAGGCUUUUCUUCGGACAUUUUUCAAGGUGCUGCAUGGUUGUCGUCAGCUCGUGCCGUGAGGUGUUAGGUUAAGUCCUGCAACGAGCGCAACCCCUGUCACUAGUUGCCAUCAUUAAGUUGGGGACUCUAGUGAGACUGCCUACGCAAGUAGAGAGGAAGGUGGGGAUGACGUCAAAUCAUCACGGCCCUUACGCCUUGGGCCACACACGUAAUACAAUGGCCGGUACAGAGGGCAGCUACACUGCGAAGUGAUGCAAAUCUCGAAAGCCGGUCUCAGUUCGGAUUGGAGUCUGCAACUCGACUCUAUGAAGCUGGAAUCGCUAGUAAUCGCGCAUCAGCCAUGGCGCGGUGAAUACGUUCCCGGGCCUUGUACACACCGCCCGUCAAGCCAUGGAAGUCUGGGGUAC